CCCCACUAUGCUCAACCGUUAACAAAGAUGGGACCCCCACACCCCCAUCCGCCAGAGAAUUACAAGCAACACUCAAAACUCAAAGGACUUGACGGUGUCCCAAACCGACCUAGAGGAGCCUGUCCUAUAAUCGAUGCUCCACGCUACACCUUACCCCCCCUUGAAGCCAGUCUGUAUACCGCCGUCUACCAGUUCGCCUCAUGACAGACCAAUAGCGAACAAACCAGCCCACCACUUAUACGACAGGUCAAGGUGCAGCCAACGGGGGGGCAGAGAUGGGCUACAUUUUCUACCCUACUAGAAUACCACCACCCGCCAAAUGAAAUAUAGGCCCAAAGGCGGAUCUAGCAGUAAGCCAGGCAAGAACGCCUGACUGAAGACCUGCUCUGGGACGCGCACACACCGCCCCCCACUAUGCUCAACCGUUAACAAAGAUGGGACCCCCACACCCCCAUCCGCCAGAGAAUUACAAGCAACACUCAAAACUCAAAGGACUUGACGGUGUCCCAAACCGACCUAGAGGAGCCUGUCCUAUAAUCGAUGCUCCACGCUACACCUUACCCCCCCUUGAAGCCAGUCUGUAUACCGCCGUCUACCAGUUCGCCUCAUGACAGACCAAUAGCGAACAAACCAGCCCACCACUUAUACGACAGGUCAAGGUGCAGCCAACGGGGGGGCAGAGAUGGGCUACAUUUUCUACCCUACUAGAAUACCACCACCCGCCAAAUGAAAUAUAGGCCCAAAGGCGGAUCUAGCAGUAAGCCAGGCAAGAACGCCUGACUGAAGACCUGCUCUGGGACGCGCACACACCGCCC
This 815-nucleotide ribosomal RNA is filed under the name Tarentola boavistensis. RNAcentral describes it as "partial 12S ribosomal RNA". Lineage: Eukaryota; Metazoa; Chordata; Lepidosauria; Squamata; Phyllodactylidae. The record is from RNAcentral.